AUCCGAUCAUACCAACACUAACGCAUCAGAUCCCAUCAGAACUCCGAAGUUGAGCGUGUUUGGUGGAGAGUAGUACUAAAAAGUGAGAGAAGACCUAACACUACGGGUC
Non-coding RNA from Nicotiana attenuata, 109 nucleotides. The record is from Rfam. Lineage: Eukaryota; Viridiplantae; Streptophyta; Magnoliopsida; Solanales; Solanaceae.